AUUGAACGCUGGCGGCAUCCCCUACACAUGCAAGUCGAACGGCAGCACGGGAGCAAUCCUGGUGGCGAGUGGCGAACGGGUGAGUAAUACAUCGGAACGUGCCCAAUCGUGGGGGAUAACGCAGCGAAAGCUGUGCUAAUACCGCAUACGAUCUACGGAUGAAAGCAGGGGAUCGCAAGACCUUGCGCGAAUGGAGCGGCCGAUGGCAGAUUAGGUAGUUGGUGAGGUAAAGGCUCACCAAGCCGUCGAUCUGUAGCUGGUCUGAGAGGACGACCAGCCACACUGGGACUGAGACACGGCCCAGACUCCUACGGGAGGCAGCAGUGGGGAAUUUUGGACAAUGGGCGAAAGCCUGAUCCAGCCAUGCCGCGUGCAGGAUGAAGGCCUUCGGGUUGUAAACUGCUUUUGUACGGAACGAAACGGCCUUUUCUAAUAAAGAGGGCUAAUGACGGUACCGUAAGAAUAAGCACCGGCUAACUACGUGCCAGCAGCCGCGGUAAUACGUAGGGUGCAAGCGUUAAUCGGAAUUACUGGGCGUAAAGCGUGCGCAGGCGGUUAUGUAAGACAGUUGUGAAAUCCCCGGGCUCAACCUGGGAACUGCAUCUGUGACUGCAUAGCUAGAGUACGGUAGAGGGGGAUGGAAUUCCGCGUGUAGCAGUGGAAUGCGUAGAUAUGCGGAGGAACACCGAUGGCGAAGGCGAUCCCCUGGACCUGUACUGACGCUCAUGCACGAAAGCGUGGGGAGCAAACAGG
RNAcentral lists this ribosomal RNA (753 nucleotides) under uncultured Comamonadaceae bacterium. RNAcentral's name for it is "bacterial SSU rRNA". It matches the Rfam family "Bacterial small subunit ribosomal RNA", at positions 28 to 776 of the family's 1533-position model. The record is from RNAcentral. Lineage: Bacteria; Pseudomonadati; Pseudomonadota; Betaproteobacteria; Burkholderiales; Comamonadaceae.